GUCCGUUCGUCCGUCUGUCCCGCUUCAGGUUAAAGUUUUUGGUCGAGGUAGUUUUUGAUGAAGUUGAAGUCCAAUCGACUUCAAACUUGGUACACAUGUUCCCUAUGAUAUGAUCUUUCUAAUUUUAAUGCCAAAUUAGAGAUUUUACCCCAAUUUCACGGUCCACUGAACAUAGAAAAUGAAAGUGCAUGUUUCAGGUUAAAGUUUUUCAGGUUGAAGUUUUUGGUCAAGGUAGUUUUUGAUGAAGUUGAAGUCCAAUCAACUUGAAAUUUAGUACACAUGUUCCUUAUGAUAUGAUCUUUCUAAUUUUAAAGCCAAAUUAAACUUUUGACCCCAAUUUCACGGUCCACUGAACAUAGAAAAUGAAAGUGCAUGUUUCAGGUUAAAGUUUUUGGUCAAGGUAGUUUUUGAUGAAGUUGAAGUCCAAUCAACUUGAAACUUAGUACACAUGUUCCUUAUGAUAUGAUCUUUCUAAUUUUAAAGCCAAAUUAAACUUUUGACCCCAAUUUCACGGUCCACUGAACAUAGAAAAUGAAAGUGCAUGUUUCAGGUUAAAGUUUUUCAGGUUAAAGUUUUUGGUCAAGGUAGUUUUUGAUGAAGUUGAAGUCCAAUCAACUUGAAACUUAGUACACAUGUUCCUUAUGAUAUAUGAUCUUUCUAAUUUUAAAGCCAAAUUAAACUUUUGACCCCAAUUUCACGGUCCACUGAACAUAGAAAAUGAAAGUGCAUGUUUCAGGUUAAAGUUUUUUCAGGUUAAAGUUUUUGGUCAAGGUAGUUUUUGAUGAAGUUGAAGUCCAAUCAACUUGAAACGUAGUACACAUGUUCCUUAUGAUAUGAUCUUUCUAAUUUUAAAGCCAAAUUAAACUUUUGACCCCAAUUUCACGGUCCACUGAACAUAGAAAAUGAAAGUGCAUGUUUCAGGUUAAAGUUUUUGGUCAAGGUAGUUUUUGAUGAAGUUGAAGUCCAAUCAACUUGAAACUUAGUACACAUGUUCCCUAUGAUAUUAUCUUUCUAAUUUUAAUGCCUAAUUAUAUUUUUUAUCCAAUUUCAUGGUCCAUUGAACAUGGAAAAUGAUAGUGUGAGUGGGGCAUCCGUGUACUUUGGACACAUUCUUGUUAUAAUGUAAAUCGACUGUAAUGUCCAAAAGAACAAUAAUACAGCAUAGCUGUUAAAUAUACAGUGGCGGAUCCAGCCAUUUUAAAAAAAGGGGGGGGAGGUUCCAACUAUAUGUUCCCAUUCAAAUGCAUUGAUCGGUCAAACACACCCCCUGGAUCCACCACUGAUAUAUCAAUGUAGAUAAAUGUACAAGUGCUUCAAAAUGUUAAUAAUGGUCAAUUUUGUACUUAUGAAGUUAGACUUAAAAAAUGGAUAAUGUAUUAUAUGUUUCUUCAUUUUUAUACUGAAUGUCCAAUAUGUAAAUAGUAUUUGUGAAUAUGUCAUAUUUAUAUGUCAACAGCAUUUAGGAGGGUUCGGAUGGUGGUACUUUAUUUCUUUAUUAAUACAGUAUUCCUUAUAUGCCCGGCCCCCAUUUAUGGGCAUCAUGUCUUCUGGUCUGUGCGUCCGCCCGUUUGUUGUACCGUUCGUCCGUCUGUCCCGCUUCAGGUUAAAGUUUUUGGUCGAGGUAGUUUUUGAUGAAGUUGAAGUCCAAUCAACUUGAAACUUAGUACACAUGUUCCCUAUGAUAUGAUAUUUCUAAUUUUAAUGCCAAAUUAGAGAUUUCCCCCCAUGUUCAUGGUCCACUGAACAAAGAAUAUGAUAGUGGGGAUGGGGCAUCCGUGUACUGGGGACACAUUCUUGUUCUCUAUGCUUUAUUUUUUUUGCCCAUUGUUCCCUAUUAUUUAUAUUUUAGCACCCCAUUAUUCUCUAUUCUUGAUUUUUUUAUGCCCCACAUAGGGGCAUUAUGUUUUCUGGUCUGUGCGUCCGUUCGUCCGUUCGUUCGUCCGUUCGUUCGUCCGUUCGUUCGUCCGUCUGUCCCGCUUCAGGUUAAAGUUUUUGGUCGAGGUAGUUUUUGAUGAAGUUGAAGUCCAAUCGACUUCAAACUUGGUACACAUGUUCCCUAUGAUAUGAUCUUUCUAAUUUUAAAGCCAAAUUAAACUUUUGACCCCAAUUUCACGGUCCACUUGAACAUAGAAAAUGAAAGUGCAUGUUUAAAGGUUUUUCAGGUUAAAGUUUUUGGUCAAGGUAGUUUUUGAUGAAGUUGAAGUCCAAUCAACUUGAAACUUAGUACACAUGUUCCUUAUGAUAUGAUCUUUCUAAUUUUAAAGCCAAAUUAAACUUUUGACCCCAAUUUCACGGUCCACUGAACAUAGAAAAUGAAAGUGCAUGUUUCA
Molecule: long non-coding RNA, 2330 nt
Filed under: Mytilus galloprovincialis (Mediterranean mussel)
Lineage: Eukaryota; Metazoa; Mollusca; Bivalvia; Mytilida; Mytilidae
Source: RNAcentral